RNAcentral lists this ribosomal RNA (497 nucleotides) under uncultured bacterium. RNAcentral's name for it is "partial 16S ribosomal RNA". It matches the Rfam family "Bacterial small subunit ribosomal RNA", at positions 29 to 507 of the family's 1533-position model. The record is from RNAcentral.
UAUUAACUCUGGCGGCGUGCCUAAUACAUGCAAGUCGAGCGAACAGAUGAGGAGCUUGCUCCUCUGACGUUAGCGGCGGACGGGUGAGUAACACGUGGAUAACCUACCUAUAAGACUGGGAUAACUUCGGGAAACCGGAGCUAAUACCGGAUAAUAUAUUGAACCGCAUGGUUCAAUAGUGAAAGACGGUUUUGCUGUCACUUAUAGAUGGAUCCGCGCCGCAUUAGCUAGUUGGUAAGGUAACGGCUUACCAAGGCAACGAUGCGUAGCCGACCUGAGAGGGUGAUCGGCCACACUGGAGCUGAGACACGGUCCAGACUCCUACGGGAGGCAGCAGUAGGGAAUCUUCCGCAAUGGGCGAAAGCCUGACUGAGCAACGCCGCGUGAGUGAUGAAGGUCUUCGGAUCGUAAAACUCUGUUAUUAGGGAAGAACAAAUGUGUAAGUAACUAUGCACGUCUUGACGGUACCUAAUCAGAAAGCCACGGCUAACUACGUG